Molecule: non-coding RNA, 321 nt
Organism: Cinara cedri
Lineage: Eukaryota; Metazoa; Arthropoda; Insecta; Hemiptera; Aphididae
Source: the annotation of a GenBank genome assembly
UCGUCGUCGUUGUUUGUUUUGUUUUUUUUUUUUCUUUCUUUUUUCGUUUAUAUCCGAACAAAUAUUGUAAGUACAAAGCGCACCGAAAUUAUUGUAUCGCAAUAGUAAACAUUAUCUCCGAAAGGCCCAUCGGAAGCUGCCGGUCUUAAUAUGUACCGUUUACUAUCGUAUACAAAUAUAUUAUUAUUGAAAUAUUGUUAUCGACGAGUGACUUCGGGAAAAAAAAAAAAGUAAUACAAACACAAAUAUUAUACGUAAAUCUCGCGGUUAAUACGCUGUUUUUUAUUGUUUUUUUUUUUUUUUUUUUUUUUUUUCCUUCUU